GUGGGGAAUAUUGCACAAUGGGGGAAACCCUGAUGCAGCGACGCCGCGUGAGUGAAGAAGUAUUUCGGUAUGUAAAGCUCUAUCAGCAGGGAAGAAAUUGACGGUACCUGACUAAGAAGCCCCGGCUAACUACGUGCCAGCAGCCGCGGUAAUACGUAGGGGGCAAGCGUUAUCCGGAUUUACUGGGUGUAAAGGGAGCGUAGGUGGUGUGGUAAGUCAGAUGUGAAAGCCCAGGGCUCAACCCUGGGACUGCAUUUGAAACUGCCAUACUUGAGUGCAGGAGAGGUAAGUGGAAUUCCUAGUGUAGCGGUGAAAUGCGUAGAUAUUAGGAGGAACACCAGUGGCGAAGGCGGCUUACUGGACUGUAACUGACACUGAGGCUCGAAAGCGUGGGGAGCAAACAGGAUUAGAAACCCUUGUAGUCC
Molecule: ribosomal RNA, 425 nt
Filed under: uncultured bacterium
Lineage: Bacteria
Description: bacterial SSU rRNA
Rfam family: Bacterial small subunit ribosomal RNA
Source: RNAcentral